GCCCGGUUAGCUCAAUCGGUAGAGCGUGAGACUCUUAAUCUCAAGGUUGCGGGUAUGUAAAAAAAACCCUUCAAUUGAAAGUCAAAUGACUCGAUAGAUAUGCUAACAAAGUCCUGAAUAGGUUCGACCCCCGCAUUGGGCU
Xylariaceae sp. FL0594 is the source of this 142-nucleotide non-coding RNA. The record is from the annotation of a GenBank genome assembly. NCBI's taxonomy places the organism in Eukaryota, Fungi, Ascomycota, Sordariomycetes, Xylariales, Xylariaceae.